This is a long non-coding RNA of Choloepus didactylus (southern two-toed sloth), 352 nucleotides long. RefSeq lists it as uncharacterized. NCBI's taxonomy places the organism in Eukaryota, Metazoa, Chordata, Mammalia, Pilosa, Megalonychidae. The record is from RefSeq and is a predicted model, not a curated record. The transcript is spliced from 3 exons.
CAUCAGCUUACUGAGAAGGAUGGGUUUGCUUUAUCACAUGGUUUGGAGGAAGAUUUUAAUGUGUUAAAGCUUCUGUACUGCAAAACUUGCCCUCCCAGACCUGAUGAAAGCUGUGAUUGCUCUGGAUUUCCACUAGAGACCUCUAUCCGAUCGCAGGAGGGCUGGGGAGCAGUUUGCAUCACUGGGCGUUUCUCUACAAGCAACAGAGAAGUUUGCCAAUUGCCCCUGGGAAGAGGUGGAGUUUACCAUCAGAGGAAAAUAAUUCUAAAGAGAAGAAUGGAAUCCUGUAAUACUAGUUUGCCAUACAAAAUGAGUAAAAGAGUGUUUCUUCAAGGAAAAUAUUUCAAAUGGC